CGGCGGACGGGUGAGUAAUGCCUAGGAAUCUGCCUGGUAGUGGGGGACAACGUUUCGAAAGGAACGCUAAUACCGCAUACGUCCUACGGGAGAAAGCAGGGGACCUUCGGGCCUUGCGCUAUCAGAUGAGCCUAGGUCGGAUUAGCUAGUUGGUGGGGUAAUGGCUCACCAAGGCGACGAUCCGUAACUGGUCUGAGAGGAUGAUCAGUCACACUGGAACUGAGACACGGUCCAGACUCCUACGGGAGGCAGCAGGC
This 257-nucleotide ribosomal RNA is filed under the name uncultured Pseudomonas sp. RNAcentral's name for it is "partial 16S ribosomal RNA". It matches the Rfam family "Bacterial small subunit ribosomal RNA", at positions 96 to 354 of the family's 1533-position model. The record is from RNAcentral. Lineage: Bacteria; Pseudomonadati; Pseudomonadota; Gammaproteobacteria; Pseudomonadales; Pseudomonadaceae.